CGAACGCUCGUCUUCGGACGGGAGUGGCAGACGGGUGAGUAACACGUGGGAACGUACCCUUUGGUUCGGAAUAACGCAGGGAAACUUGCGCUAAUACCGGAUACGCCCUUUUGGGAAAGGUUUACUGCCGAAGGAUCGGCCCGCGUCUGAUUAGCUAGUUGGUGGGGUAACGGCCUACCAAGGCGACGAUCAGUAGCUGGUCUGAGAGGAUGAUCAGCCACACUGGGACUGAGACACGGCCCAG
RNAcentral lists this ribosomal RNA (244 nucleotides) under uncultured bacterium. RNAcentral's name for it is "partial 16S ribosomal RNA". It matches the Rfam family "Bacterial small subunit ribosomal RNA", at positions 63 to 334 of the family's 1533-position model. The record is from RNAcentral.